GGAUGUUCUUGUUUAAAGAUGGGGACAAAAACACUAUUUUUUUCCAUGUUGUGGUAAAAAAAAAAAAAAAAAAAAAAAAAAAAAAAAAAAAAAAAACUUCUAGUGGGAUUCAUAGAUUAAGAACUGAUAAUGGUGUUAUUGAGAAUCUUAAGCCCAUUAAGGAUUCUAUUUUCGAUUUUUAUAGAAAUCUCUAUGAUGAUUUUAAUUCUAA
This 211-nucleotide long non-coding RNA is filed under the name Phaseolus vulgaris (common bean). Its description in RNAcentral is "long non-coding RNA (PVUL_LNC003868)". Lineage: Eukaryota; Viridiplantae; Streptophyta; Magnoliopsida; Fabales; Fabaceae. The record is from RNAcentral.